CCCGCUGAACUUAAGCAUAUCAAUAAGCGGAGAAAAAGAAACUAACAAGGAUUCCCCUAGUAACUGCGAGUGAAGCGGGAAAAGCUCAAAUUUAAAAUCUGGUGGUCUUUGGCCAUCCGAGUUGUAAUUUAGAGAAGCGUCUUCCGCGCUGGACCGUGCACAAGUCUCCUGGAAUGGAGCGUCAUAGAGGGUGAGAAUCCCGUCUUUGGCAUGGAAUCCCAGGGCUUCUGUGAUGCGCUCUCGACGAGUCGAGUUGUUUGGGAAUGCAGCUCAAAAUGGGUGGUGAACUCCAUCUAAAGCUAAAUAUUGGCGAGAGACCGAUAGCGAACAAGUACCGUGAGGGAAAGAUGAAAAGCACUUUGGAAAGAGAGUGAAACAGUACGUGAAAUUGUUGAAAGGGAAACGCUUGAAGUCAGUCGCGUCGACCGAGACUCAGCCUUGCCUUGGCUUGGUGUACUUCUCGGCUGACGGGUCAGCAUCGAUUUCAAUCCUCGGAUAAUGGCAAGGGAAAGGUAGCACCUUUUUAGGUGUGUUAUAGUCCUCUGUCGCAUGCGAGGGUCGGGAUCGAGGAACUCAGCGCGCACCUCAGGGUGUCGGGGCCGCUUGGCCCACGUUUACGUGCUUAGGAUGCUGGCGUAAUGGCUUUAAACGACCCGUCUUGAAACACGG
This 669-nucleotide ribosomal RNA is filed under the name uncultured fungus. RNAcentral describes it as "eukaryotic LSU rRNA". It matches the Rfam family "Eukaryotic large subunit ribosomal RNA", at positions 24 to 664 of the family's 3401-position model. The record is from RNAcentral. Lineage: Eukaryota; Fungi.